Molecule: ribosomal RNA, 433 nt
Filed under: uncultured bacterium
Lineage: Bacteria
Description: partial 16S ribosomal RNA
Rfam family: Bacterial small subunit ribosomal RNA
Source: RNAcentral
AGCGAACGCUGGCGGCAGGCCUAACACAUGCAAGUCGAACGAACUCUUCGGAGUUAGUGGCGGACGGGUGAGUAACACGUGGGAACGUGCAUUUUGGUUCGGAAUAACUCAGGGAAACUUGUGCUAAUACCGAAUGUGCCCUUCGGGGGAAAGAUUUAUCGCCAUUAGAGCGGCCCGCGUCUGAUUAGCUAGUUGGUGAGGUAACGGCUCACCAAGGCGACGAUCAGUAGCUGGUCUGAGAGGAUGACCAGCCACACUGGGACUGAGACACGGCCCAGACUCCUACGGGAGGCAGCAGUGGGGAAUCUUGCGCAAUGGGCGAAAGCCUGACGCAGCCAUGCCGCGUGAAUGAUGAAGGUCUUAGGAUUGUAAAAUUCUUUCACCGGGGACGAUAAUGACGGUACCCGGAGAAGAAGCCCCGGCUAACUUCGUG